AAAAGCCCGAGGGCAACUUACGCUCGCAAGAGUGAGGAAAGUCCCCUCUCCGCGGUAGAGUCCAACCUGUGCAAGCAGGUACCCUGGAAAGGGUGGUUCAGGGAAAAGAAAUAAACGGUCCUCUGUAAAGUGUGAUUCUUCCGGAUGACGUUUCAGGGGUGUCCGAUGGGAACCUUUCCUGGACGGAGAAAGUCUAAACAGACCCUGUGAUGCUACCGAGAGGGUCGGGUAAGACGCAGCCUUAUGGCAUAAGUCGAAUGUUGCCAACCCGAAAGGGCCAACAGAAAGGGGCUUACUCCGGGCAUUU
Molecule: RNase P RNA, 307 nt
Filed under: Thermoplasmatales archaeon
Lineage: Archaea; Methanobacteriati; Thermoplasmatota; Thermoplasmata; Thermoplasmatales
Also listed under: 1 other name
Description: RNase P RNA component
Rfam family: Archaeal RNase P
About the family: Ribonuclease P (RNase P) is a ubiquitous endoribonuclease, found in archaea, bacteria and eukarya as well as chloroplasts and mitochondria. Its best characterised activity is the generation of mature 5'-ends of tRNAs by cleaving the 5'-leader elements of precursor-tRNAs.
Source: RNAcentral